GGCAUUCGGGUCGAAAGCUCUGUUGUUAGGGAAGAACAUGUAUCGGAGUAACUGCCGGUACCUUGACGGUACCUAACCAGAAAGCCACGGUUAACUACGUGCCAGCAGCCGGGGUAAUACGUAGGUGGAAAGCGUUGUCCGGAAUUAUUGGGCGUAAAGCGUGCGGAGGGGCCUUUUAAGUUUGAUGUGAAAUCUGGCGGCUCAACCGCAGGGGGCUUUUGAAAAUUGGGGGGAUUGGGUGCAGAAGAGAAAAGCGAAUUUCCCCCGUGUGGGGGGGAAAUGCGUAAAAGAUGUGGAGGAAACACCAGUGGGGAAGGGGGGUUUUCUGGGCCUGUAAUUGAACGCUGAGCGGCAAAAGGGGGGGGGGGAAAAAAGAAUAAAAUCCCCGGGAAGCCCCCCCCGAAAACGAGGGGGGCUAAGUUUUAAGGGUUCCCCCCUUUUAGGCCGCACCAAAGGAUUAAGCCCCCCCCCUGGGGAGACGCCCCCAGGGUUAAACUUAAGGAAAUUGCGGGGGCCCCCCAAAGGGGGGGACUUGGGGUUUAAUUCCAAAGAAGGGGAAAAACUUACCGGGUCUGAAUUCUUUUGCCUUCCCUAGAAAGGGGUUUCCCCCUCCGGGAAACAAAUAAAAGGGGGGCCUUGUUCUCGUCCCCCCGGCGGUGAGAGUUGGUAACUCAAAAAGGGAAAACCUUUAUCUAAUUGCAACUCCAUUGGCCCCUCAAGGGGAUGCGGUGAAAACCGGAGAAGGGGGGUGAGCAAACUCUGCCCUUAAGACUGGGUUACACGGGCAAAAGGAGGUACAAGGGUGCGAGCCCCAGUUUACCAAC
RNAcentral lists this ribosomal RNA (824 nucleotides) under Neobacillus thermocopriae. Its description in RNAcentral is "Bacillus thermocopriae partial 16S ribosomal RNA". It matches the Rfam family "Bacterial small subunit ribosomal RNA", at positions 413 to 1280 of the family's 1533-position model. Lineage: Bacteria; Bacillati; Bacillota; Bacilli; Caryophanales; Bacillaceae. The record is from RNAcentral.